AGGGAAGUCAGAUCCAAAGGUGACUGCCACA
This 31-nucleotide non-coding RNA is filed under the name Homo sapiens (human). Lineage: Eukaryota; Metazoa; Chordata; Mammalia; Primates; Hominidae. The record is from RNAcentral.